RNAcentral lists this transfer RNA (75 nucleotides) under Planctomycetia bacterium. Its description in RNAcentral is "tRNA-Asp". It matches the Rfam family "tRNA". Rfam says of the family: Transfer RNA (tRNA) molecules are approximately 80 nucleotides in length. Their secondary structure includes four short double-helical elements and three loops (D, anti-codon, and T loops). Lineage: Bacteria; Pseudomonadati; Planctomycetota; Planctomycetia. The record is from RNAcentral.
GGGGCCGUAGCUCAAUUGGUUAGAGCGCCGGACUGUCGAUCCGGAGGUUACGGGUUCGAGUCCCGCCGGCCUCGC